This 634-nucleotide long non-coding RNA is filed under the name Marmota monax (woodchuck). Lineage: Eukaryota; Metazoa; Chordata; Mammalia; Rodentia; Sciuridae. The record is from RNAcentral.
UCUCGGACGCCGCCAACCGCGCCCCGACGCGGGAGCCCAGCGGGACGACGGGACGCGCAACGCGCACGCGCAAAAGGGAGGAGCUCCCAACCGCCGCGGCAGGGCUGCUCGAGGACAUGGCCCCGCCCCAACCGGUGCUCAGUGACGCUCCGGCGGCGGGCGGUGCGGAUGUGGUGGUGUUGGGAGCAAGCACAGGAUCGGGUUAGUUGAGCGCUGAGUGCCCUCCUCCAUAGGUGGCCUUGGAACACCCAGCUGGGGAGGUUGGGGGAGGCCGUGCGCCCCAUCCCUCGAAGAGGCUUCUUUUUAAAAUUUUAAAAAAUUGUUCUUUAACAUACACAUGACAGUAGAGUGUGUUGACUUAUCAUCGUACAGGGUGUAACUUCCCUUCUCCUCGUGGUUGUACACCAUGUGAAGGGACACUGGUCGUGUGUUCACAUCGGAGCACAGGACAGUCACCUCCCUCCCUUCUGCCGUCUUUCCCGCUCCUAUCCCCACUUUCCCUUCGCCCCGCUUCGUCGGAUCCAGUGAACUUCUACUCUCCGCUCCCCUCGUACUGUGGGUCGGCGUCCGCAGAUCAGAGAGAAGAUUCGGCCUUUGGUUUUUUUGGGAUUGGCUUAGCAUGAUAGUCUGGGAG